CGCCCAGGAACUACGAGCGCUAGCUUAAAACCUAAGGACUUGGCGGUAUCUCAAACCCCCUAGAGGAGCCUGUCCUAGCACCGAUAACCCCCGUUUAACCUCACCACUACUUGCCAUCCCCGCCUAUAUACCGCCGUCGACAGCUUUCCCCCCAGAGCCCAACAGCAAGCAAAACAGAUUACUUAAGCCUAACACGUCAGGUCGAGGUGUAGCGCACUGCAGUGGGAAGAGAUGGGCUACACUCCCUAGCAUAGGGACCACGAAGAGGGCCCUGAAACCGAGCCCCUGAAGGAGGAUUUAGCAGUAAGAGAGGACGAGAGUGCCUCUCUGAAGAAGGACUUGAGAUGCGU
This 350-nucleotide ribosomal RNA is filed under the name Cyclothone obscura. RNAcentral's name for it is "partial 12S rRNA". It matches the Rfam family "Bacterial small subunit ribosomal RNA", at positions 870 to 1384 of the family's 1533-position model. The record is from RNAcentral. Lineage: Eukaryota; Metazoa; Chordata; Actinopteri; Stomiiformes; Gonostomatidae.